GGGGGGUUUGAGGGAGGGGUUGAAGGGUUUUUUUAUUGGGGGGGGGGUCGAUGCGGUGCUGCCCUUAUUUGGCUUUGGGGUUCCGGAAUUUGCGGCCGGCGAAUUUGGCCUUAUCUCCAAGAGCCUCCUCGAUCCUCAUCAGUUGGUUGUAUUUGGCCAAGCGCUCAGAGCGGCACGGAGCGCCUGUCUUAAUCUGCCCGGUGCACAGCCCCACCACGAGGUCGGCGAUGAAGGUGUCCUCGGUCUCCCCGGAGCGGUGGCUCACCAUCACCCCCCAGCCGUGGCUCUGCGCCAGCUUGCAUGCCUGGAUGGACUCCGUGACGGAGCCGAUCUGGUUGACUUUGAGCAGCAGGCAGUUGCAGGCGUGCUGCUCGGCCGCGUGGGCGAUGCGUUUGGGGUUGGUGACCGUCAGGUCGUCCCCCACCACCUGGAUGUCCACGUGGGACACGAAGCGCUUCCACGCCUCCCAGUCGUCCUGGUCAAAGGGGUCCUCGAUGGACACCACCGGGUAGUCCUUGAUGAAUCCCCUGUAGAUCUCUCCCAGCUGCUCGCCGGUGAUGAGCCGUUUGGGGUCGGGGGGGCUCUUGAAGUCGAGGUCGUAGCGGCCGUCGCGGCAGAACUCGGAGGCGGCCACGUCCAUCCCGAUCACCACCUUGUCGGUGUAACCCGCCUGGGCGAUGGCGGCCUUCAGCAGCUCCAGAGCUUCGUGGUUAUCCAGGAUGUUGGGGGCGAACCCCCCCUCGUCGCCCACGUUGGUGGCGUCCUUGCCGUACUUGGCCUUGAUGACCCCCUUGAGGCUGUGGUACACCUCGGCCCCCACCCGCAUGGCGUCGUGGAACGACGCGGCCCCCACCGGCAGCACCAUGAACUCCUGCAUGGCCAGCUUAUUACCAGCGUGAGAACCGCCGUUGAUCACAUUAAAGGCAGG
RNAcentral lists this unclassified non-coding RNA (928 nucleotides) under Hevea brasiliensis (rubber tree). The record is from RNAcentral. Lineage: Eukaryota; Viridiplantae; Streptophyta; Magnoliopsida; Malpighiales; Euphorbiaceae.